RNAcentral lists this ribosomal RNA (252 nucleotides) under uncultured bacterium. RNAcentral describes it as "partial 16S ribosomal RNA". It matches the Rfam family "Bacterial small subunit ribosomal RNA", at positions 524 to 776 of the family's 1533-position model. The record is from RNAcentral.
UACGUAGGUGGCAAGCGUUGUCCGGAAUUAUUGGGCGUAAAGCGCGCGCAGGCGGUCCUUUAAGUCUGAUGUGAAAGCCCACGGCUCAACCGUGGAGGGUCAUUGGAAACUGGGGGACUUGAGUGCAGGAGAGAAGAGUGGAAUUCCACGUGUAGCGGUGAAAUGCGUAGAGAUGUGGAGGAACACCAGUGGCGAAGGCGACUCUUUGGCCUGUAACGUGACGCUGAGGCGCGAAAGCGUGGGAGCAACAGG